This 471-nucleotide ribosomal RNA is filed under the name Enterococcus faecalis. RNAcentral's name for it is "bacterial SSU rRNA". It matches the Rfam family "Bacterial small subunit ribosomal RNA", at positions 68 to 510 of the family's 1533-position model. Lineage: Bacteria; Bacillati; Bacillota; Bacilli; Lactobacillales; Enterococcaceae. The record is from RNAcentral.
GCUUCUUUCCUCCCGAGUGCUUGCACUCAAUUGGAAAGAGGAGUGGCGGACGGGUGAGUAACACGUGGGUAACCUACCCAUCAGAGGGGGAUAACACUUGGAAACAGGUGCUAAUACCGCAUAACAGUUUAUGCCGCAUGGCAUAAGAGUGAAAGGCGCUUUCGGGUGUCGCUGAUGGAUGGACCCGCGGUGCAUUAGCUAGUUGGUGAGGUAACGGCUCACCAAGGCCACGAUGCAUAGCCGACCUGAGAGGGUGAUCGGCCACACUGGGACUGAGACACGGCCCAGACUCCUACGGGAGGCAGCAGUAGGGAAUCUUCGGCAAUGGACGAAAGUCUGACCGAGCAACGCCGCGUGAGUGAAGAAGGUUUUCGGAUCGUAAAACUCUGUUGUUAGAGAAGAACAAGGACGUUAGUAACUGAACGUCCCCUGACGGUAUCUAACCAGAAAGCCACGGCUAACUACGUGCCA